AGAGUUUGAUCAUGGCUCAGAAUGAACGCUGGCGGCACGCUUAACACAUGCAAGUCGAACGAGAUCUUCGGAUCUAGUGGCAGACGGGUGAGUAACGCGUGGGAACCUGCCCAGUAGUAGAGAAUAACUUGGGGAAACUUAAGCUAAUACUUUAUACGUCCUUCGGGAGAAAGCUUUAUGCGCUAUUGGAUGGGCCCGCGUUAGAUUAGUUUGUUGGUGAGGUAAAGGCUCACCAAGACUACGAUCUAUAGCUGGUCUGAGAGGAUGAUCAGCCUCACUGGGACUGAGACACGGCCCAGACUCCUACGGGAGGCAGCAGUGGGGAAUAUUGGACAAUGGGGGCAACCCUGAUCCAGCGAUGCCGCGUGAGUGAUGAAGGCCUUAGGGUUGUAAAACUCUUUCGUCAGGGAAGAUAAUGACGGUACCUGAAGAAGAAGAUCCGGCUAACUCCGUGCCAGCCGCCGCGGUAAUUC
This 473-nucleotide ribosomal RNA is filed under the name uncultured bacterium. RNAcentral's name for it is "bacterial SSU rRNA". It matches the Rfam family "Bacterial small subunit ribosomal RNA", at positions 8 to 526 of the family's 1533-position model. The record is from RNAcentral.